UCCAGCAGCCGCGGUAAUACGGAGGGUCCGAGCGUUAWUCGGAAUUMCUGGGCGUAAAGCGUGCGCAGGCGGUUAUUUAAGCCAGAUGUGAAAGCCCCGGGCUCAMCCUGGGAAUUGCAUUUGGAACUGGGUAACUAGAGUCUUGUAGAGGGAGGUAGAAUUUCAGGUGUAGCGGUGAAAUGCGUAGAUAUCUGAAGGAAUACCGGUGGCGAAGGCGGCCUCCUGGACAAAGACUGACGCUCAUGCACGAAAGCGUGGGGAGCAAACAGGAUUAGAUACCCUGGUAGUCCACGCCGUAAACGAUGUCUACUCGGAGUUUGGUGCCUUGAGCACUGGGCUCUCAAGCUAACGCAUUAAGUAGACCGCCUGGGGAGUACGGCCGCAAGGUUAAAACUCAAAGGAUUGACGGA
This 410-nucleotide ribosomal RNA is filed under the name uncultured bacterium. RNAcentral's name for it is "bacterial SSU rRNA". It matches the Rfam family "Bacterial small subunit ribosomal RNA", at positions 507 to 917 of the family's 1533-position model. The record is from RNAcentral.